This is a non-coding RNA of Nelumbo nucifera (sacred lotus), 894 nucleotides long. NCBI's taxonomy places the organism in Eukaryota, Viridiplantae, Streptophyta, Magnoliopsida, Proteales, Nelumbonaceae. The record is from RefSeq and is a predicted model, not a curated record.
GGAGGCCCGGGUACGGGCUCGGGCUCAAGCCCGCGUAAGGCGUAACGGCAGUCGGCAGGCUCCCCGUGAUAAGUCGGUGGAUCUCACGUCCACACUCAACGUUGCUGCUCUUGUCUCCAUGAUUCCAUUCCAUUCCAUGAAGCCCUCUCGUGUAUAACAAACUAUUAACCAAUUACCCAAUUUUGCAUGUAUUAUGCUUGGACAUGGUCCAGUCAUGUUCAUUUGAUCUCGCCUUCUAAAAUGUUCACUUGAUCUCCCACAAGUCAUCUUGAUUCUCUCCACGAUCAUAAAGGCUGUAUAGAUUGCUUGGUGUCUGAAGUUCCUCCGAACGGUAAGGAUAUGGAAGACAGAGGUGCAGAGAAGAAAAGACCGGUAGAGAGGAGAGUCAGUGCGAAGCUUCAGAACCGGCCGAAGAAUAAAAGGCCUUAUUAGGGCAGUAACCUGGAGGAGGAAUCAGAUUCAGCCAUGGAAGGUAGAAUUGGCAAGAACAAAAUUAAAGUGUACAGGAGGAGAACAACGGCUUUUGCAAAUUUGGGUGGAAUAACAGCAAUAGAAGGGAGAGCAGGCCCUUUCAAAAGGUGGACGCCUGGCAUGGCUUAUGCCUCAGCUCAAGUGUGCUCCUUUUUUAAAUAUGCCUUUUUUCUUUUUUCUUUUCUUUUCCUUUUUUUUUUGUAAACUUAUGUGUUUUACACUUUUGUAAUGGUUUAGCAAUUUCUAAGUUGCCUUUUUUUUUUUUGAGAAAAAGGCAAAGUAUACUUGUAUUACCAAUGAAAAUGGGAGGAACUCCCAAUACAGUGAGUGUACAAUGUGUGGGAAAUUCACAAACCAUCAAAAAGUAUGUUAGAUGCAAAAGGGAAUCUGUAGAUAGAUUGGAAGCUUUAUCCCACAGAAAGA